RNAcentral lists this ribosomal RNA (505 nucleotides) under uncultured bacterium. Its description in RNAcentral is "partial 16S ribosomal RNA". It matches the Rfam family "Bacterial small subunit ribosomal RNA", at positions 28 to 507 of the family's 1533-position model. The record is from RNAcentral.
GACGAACGCUGGCGGCGUGCCUAAUACAUGCAAGUAGAACGCACAGUUUAUACCGUAGCUUGCUACACCAUAGACUGUGAGUUGCGAACGGGUGAGUAACGCGUAGGUAACCUGCCUGGUAGCGGGGGAUAACUAUUGGAAACGAUAGCUAAUACCGCAUAAUAUUAAUUAUUGCAUGAUAAUUGGUUGAAAGAUGCAACUGCAUCACUACCAGAUGGACCUGCGUUGUAUUAGCUAGUAGGUGAGGUAACGGCUCACCUAGGCGACGAUACAUAGCCGACCUGAGAGGGUGAUCGGCCACACUGGGACUGAGACACGGCCCAGACUCCUACGGGAGGCAGCAGUAGGGAAUCUUCGGCAAUGGACGAAAGUCUGACCGAGCAACGCCGCGUGAGUGAAGAAGGUUUUCGGAUCGUAAAGCUCUGUUGUAAGAGAAGAACGGGUGUGAGAGUGGAAAGUUCACACUGUGACGGUAUCUUACCAGAAAGGGACGGCUAACUACGUG